AUCCAAGUCUUGUUGUGGAGGUUGUUCCUUCUGUGUGGUUUAGCCUUGUUUUGGUCCCUGUGCCUUGAUUUCCAUCAUGGCAGGGAUGUACACAGAGUGAGAUGCUGAGGGGGAACUUGGAGAGGGUCAGAGAGAGCACCAGACCUCAUCAAUGCCUGGCAGUAUCAGCAGAUACUGGAUUUAUUGCUGGGGAAGGAAAGAAGUUGCCAUGACUACUCACCGACUCUAUUAUGUGCAAUGGAGACACUAACUGCCCCCAUGUCAGAGAAUUGCUGAGAACCAGACCCAGAGAGGAUUGCCAAAUUUUCCACUGAAUGCCAGAGGAAGAAGCACUGGGUCACGGUCACAUUGGAGACACCAGCAGUGACAUUAGCAUGUCCAGACCUUCAGUGCAAGCUCUCCAGGAAUUAGAGCAUGUUCUGUGAUGCCUUCACUGCUGUGUCAGCUGAGCUGUGACACCACCACGGUUUUGAUCAGCUUAUUCUACAACUAAAUGCAAAUACAAUGAGUCAAAGAAGGGUGCUGACCAGUCUCUGAAUUCCCCCUAAAACUGAGUUUUGGCUGAGUGAUCAGCAAGAUAGAAUGACUGACACUGGAAUGAGUCUGCAGGGCACACAGCUCGGUGAUUAGUCAGUUCUCAUUACCUCUUCCUCCAAUUAACGUCAGCAAAUCAGUGCUCCUGAAUCAACGAGGACCUCGGGAGAAACGAAGCUUCCCCAAAACGCUGCCAGAUGUCAGCAGAAGCUCCAAUCCCCUCUCCUUGAUGGUUCUGUACUUUUAACACACGUAAUUAACUGUUAACACCGUCCUGUUUCUGUCACUCCAGCCCUUCACCCGUGCUCUGCUGAUGAAUGCUGUUGGUUUAGCUGUGAUGGAGGAGUCUGUGCCCAGCUCUGCUGCCUCCUGCUCCUGCACUUCAUCUCAUUUCCAUGCUCAUCCCAGCCAAGCAGGAGCCCAGCCUGAGAUCCCUUUUGUUACAGCUUCAUCACUCCAUUUGGCUCUUCCUCCCUCCUCCUUGCUGUCUUUGCAGUUUCCCUCCAACAGCAUUUGGCUUUUAUGGUCAGCCUCUGGAAGUGCAAUAUGAGUGAAUUUUCCCCAUUCUUUCCAUGAUACUAUAGGGAAUAUUUUUUAUAUAUUUUUGGUAUCUGCAGGCUGUGGAAGAAGCUCACUUGUCACAGUGCCCUUCAUUACAAAGGUGUGAUUUUUUUCCUCUUUUUUUCCUGUGACUUGUCAAGAAUAAUUAAAUGCUGUGAUUUCUUUGGCCUCCUUUCAAUGGGCAUUUACCCAACUCAUAAAUACAAGAGUAGCUCCCCUGAAAUCUGUUUCCACUCAGGUAGAGUUGUGAAGGUUUGCUCAGUGAUGCUCUGAGGAAAACGAGGAACCCAGAUGGGCUUGAGUUUGAGAGUUAGUUGUUCUCUAAAACCCAAAUAGUGUUGCUCAGAUCAAUUAAUAUUUGCUUAUUAACCUUAAAAAUACAUUCAUCCCUAGGUAUUUUCACAGUCCUCUUUGCUCCCAAAUUGGCAAGGGCAGUGCUGCUGUCCAAAAUAAAUGAAGUGUGUGAAGACAGACAGUUUAAAGGCAUUGAGGAAUUUCAGACCUUUUACAUCUCACUCAGCUUUCACCUAAUUUGUUAAUGGGUAUGUUUUUCCCUGUGGGAAAAUAAAGCUUUUCUCUCUGACAUUUUAUAAAGGACUUACUAAACCUUCUUUUGUCCCUCUGGGUAAAAUCAGUUGAAUUGGCUUUUCUGGUGCCUUUCUGUUUUCCCUAGAGAAUCUGAGUUGGUUCUUAACCCUUUCUGCCCCCCAGGCCUUAUGAACAGUAUGACAGAAACCCUUAAAAGUCUAGGCACAAUGUGGGCAGCUGUAGGUUCACUAGGGAGAGGCUCAUUACUAGGUAAAAAAUUAGAUAUAGAGGUGAAGAGAAGAAUAUUUGCUCAUUUUAGGUGUGAGCUAAAAUAGAAGCUUGAAGAGGGAUGCAUGGUGAGUUUGCAACAUUGCUGGGAAUUUCUGGAUCUCCUGUGGCAUCAGAGAACAGGAUGUGUCCUCAGACCUAAGGGUUUGUGAACAUUUCCAAGUCUCCAGCCACCCUUGGGACACAGGUGUGUGUCACCACCAGGGAUGGCAAACUGGGGACAUUGUGACACUCGUUGCUCCGGGCAGGCGGACACAUCCCCUGUGAAACCUCAGACAAAAUACUCCCAUUUUAACCUACUCUCUGGUGGCAAGAGCAGCUGGGAUGGCUCCUGUGCUCUCUGAUUUAUCCUGACAGGCUAGCAGGGUGUUUGCUGCAUGCUUCCUUGGAAGUUUGUCACAGGCUGACACUCACUGUUCCUGUGAUGCCUCGCAGAGCUCAAUCAAUGUCCUUCCCUGGCUGCAGAGAAGAACAUGCUGAGCCAGCCUUGCAAGCUGCUCCAGCCCUGGGACACCUGAUCCUCAGGCUGAAAGAGCCCUUGGAGCACAAGGUCUGUCUGAUUCUCCAUUUCUCACUUCAUAUUCUGUUUGCUGUCCAUCCUGCUACGUUUCAGGUGCUGAGGAGGGACACGUUGUGUUGGUGUUGCAAAGGUUUUUCUUUGCAAAGGAAAAUAUCUUCAUUCCACAGGUAUUGAUGAAGAAGAGUAUUAAUUUAAAAGCUGCUCUAGAUUAAUGUAGAACAGCAUAAAUAAUGAGCAGGUGCUGUGAAUGAUGAAUGGGAGAAAAUGAUUUGGACUGUUACUGUUCCACUACACAGGGAGUGUUUUACAGGGGACAAGGUGUUUUCUGUGUCAUUUCUGCAUUUGCUUCACUUAACAAUAACCAUUAACUGUCAACUCUUAAAAAAUCAUCUUCUGCUAGGAUGCCAUCAAGAAAGAAGAAGACAAUUUGGAACUUGCUUUGAAAUAUCAUUCUCAUAGGAAUUCAAAGCAUGGUUAUUAUUGUGCUGCUUGGCAAGCUGCUUUUCUGUCAGCUUCCCUGUGAUCCCUUUAGCUCUAUCUGAUACCAAAGGCUUGAGAUCUCCAGAUUAGAAAUUAAAUUCCACCUCUGUGGCCCAGACCUGAUGGCCUGCUGGAGUCACAGCAAAUAGGUUUUCCUUUACAGUGAGUGCUUCCAGCUAAAGCUGUUGCUUUUUGGUCAAAAACUUUUUUGGGAAAAAAAUAUAAUUAAAGCCAUGUGAUGCGGGUGUAGGAAUACUAAUUGACUUGAAACUGAGUAGGGAUUAUUCAGAGUGAUGGCAGGCCCUGAUCUUGCAGGGAUUUAGGUGCUUGCUUUGUUCUGCUGGCAUGUGAGUACACAGGAUGGUCCUGUCCUGGGGGAUUUAGGGGAGGCUGUGGCAUGGCCAGGAGCUGAGCAGUUGGAGCAGCUGGGUGGGAUGCAGCACUUAAAGCAUCAGGGAGCAAUUCCUGCUGCUGAGUUGGGUGUAAACCACAGCAUUUCAGGGGUGGACAGGUCUGGUUUGGGUGUCUGCUGCAGGAACAGCAGCCUGGGGAGGGCAGGAGAGGGAUUUUCCCAUUGUGAUUUCUGCUUUACUUUGCAAAUGUAGAAACUGGGAGUGACUGGUGUCAGGCCUUUGCUGGGAGGUGGGGAUUGAAGAGCCUUAAGGGAAACUGGCAGAAAUCAUGAUUUAAGUGGGAUCACUCUGAAGAUGUCAGUCACUGAGAUGGGCACUCAGCUCUCUGGGUGUCUCUAAUUGUGCUGCUCAUGUUUUGAAUGUGAUAAAAUUGAACAGUACAGUUUUAAACCAGAUUUUUGGCUUUCAAGUGCAAUGUUAAAAUUAUGAAAUCCAGAAAUGGAAGGUGAAUGUAAUUUAUAAUUUUUUUUCCAGUGAGUUCUGAAAACAGUUUUGAACAGUUCACUUAAUUAGCUGGAUUUCCAGCAGUACAAAAUGUGACCAUCUCAAUUUAAUUAACAGCAUAUCUACAUUGUGGUAGUGUGGGGAUUAUGUGGAGGCUGGUAGUAGCCCGAUGGAUUUUCAUCCUGCUCACAUACAAUGUCAUGGUUUAGAUUGUUGUUUUUUUAUUAUGAGCUUUAAUUCUUCUUGCAAGAAUUUCCAGUGUCAUUUCUGCUGACAGAUGCUGCUUAGGACAGAUUUAUUUUUAUUCCCUUACAGAUGAAUUGGAUCAAACAUCUCUUUGCAUAUAGCUCAAGUUUCCACAAUGGAGUUACUCCUAGUUGACUACUCUGGGAAGAAAAUUGUAGUCAUUUUUGUGGCCUUCUUUAGUAACAAUUGAAAUGUUUUUUUGGCAUGUGUGCAUAUAAUCUAUUAACUUACACUUCCUGUCAAUUGCAGGGAUUCAUGAUUAUAAAUAGUAUUAAAAAAAUUUAAUGCAAAUAGAGAGAGAGAGAAAAUCCAGCAUUUGGUCUUUUUUUUUCCUAGCUGGAUUCAGUGAGGUGUUGAAACAUGCAGGGCGUUUGUUUCAGGCUUUGAUAAGGAUCUCUCACAUUCUUAUAUAAAAUGCUAAAUUAACAAUAAUCAGCCCCCACGACUUACAGCCCUGCUCAGUGCAUAGCUUGCCUUUCUCUCAGGCUUCCUCUGAACCCACAGAUCUGAGGGCUUUUUCCCUCUGAUCUGAGAAAGCAAAAUUCCUGACAAAACUAAUGACUUGGGGCUCCUGCAGAAUUUUAAAACCUUUUCUUUUCCCCAUGAGUGGCUGCCUAAUGUGAGUGGGAUUUCAGUGGCUUUUUUGAAAUUUGCAUUAUUUCCUCCCUGCAGUCAGGACAUUCAGCACCAUUUGCCUGCCUGGCUGCUUGGCACAGCGGUGGCUCUCCGGUGAGGUUUUCCACCAGGUUUCCCAAUCCACACAACUGAGAUAGUUUGUUUUGGUAAUGGUAUCUGACAUGGGAUU
Passer domesticus (house sparrow) is the source of this 4819-nucleotide long non-coding RNA. RefSeq lists it as uncharacterized. The transcript is spliced from 4 exons. The record is from RefSeq and is a predicted model, not a curated record. Lineage: Eukaryota; Metazoa; Chordata; Aves; Passeriformes; Passeridae.